GUUCUUGUAGUUGAGUUAUCAACGAUGGUUUUUCAGACCAUAGGCCUUGGGUCGAUCCAAGUAAGAACC
This 69-nucleotide transfer RNA is filed under the name Lorius chlorocercus. RNAcentral describes it as "tRNA-Glu". It matches the Rfam family "tRNA". From Rfam's summary of the family: Transfer RNA (tRNA) molecules are approximately 80 nucleotides in length. Their secondary structure includes four short double-helical elements and three loops (D, anti-codon, and T loops). Lineage: Eukaryota; Metazoa; Chordata; Aves; Psittaciformes; Psittaculidae. The record is from RNAcentral.